This 253-nucleotide ribosomal RNA is filed under the name uncultured bacterium. Its description in RNAcentral is "partial 16S ribosomal RNA". It matches the Rfam family "Bacterial small subunit ribosomal RNA", at positions 524 to 776 of the family's 1533-position model. The record is from RNAcentral.
UACAGAGGUCUCAAGCGUUGUUCGGAUUCAUUGGGCGUAAAGGGCGCGUAGGCUGCGGGGCAAGUCGGGUGUGAAAUCUCAGAGCUCAACUCUGAAACUGCACUCGAUACUGCUUUGCUUGAGGACUGGAGAGGAGAUUGGAAUUCACGGUGUAGCAGUGAAAUGCGUAGAUAUCGUGAGGAAGACCAGUGGCGAAGGCGGAUCUCUGGACAGUUCCUGACGCUGAGGCGCGAAAGCCAGGGGAGCAAACGGG